Molecule: ribosomal RNA, 253 nt
Filed under: uncultured bacterium
Lineage: Bacteria
Description: partial 16S ribosomal RNA
Rfam family: Bacterial small subunit ribosomal RNA
Source: RNAcentral
UACGUAGGGUCCGAGCGUUGUCCGGAAUUAUUGGGCGUAAAGGGCUCGUAGGCGGUUCGUCACGUCGGGAGUGAAAACUCGGGGCUUAACCCCGAGCCUGCUUCCGAUACGGGCAGACUAGAGGUAGGCAGGGGAGAGCGGAACUUCUGGUGUAGCGGUGGAAUGCGCAGAUAUCAGGAAGAACACCCGUGGCGAAAGCGGCUCUCUGGAACGGUACUGACGCUGAGACGCGAAAGCGUGGGGAGCGAACAGG